RNAcentral lists this unclassified non-coding RNA (250 nucleotides) under plant metagenome. Its description in RNAcentral is "partial contains small subunit ribosomal RNA, internal transcribed spacer 1, and 5.8S ribosomal RNA". The record is from RNAcentral.
GUAGGUGAACCUGCGGAAGGAUCAUUAGUGAAUUUUAGGGUGCUCUUUACUUCGGUAAAGAGGCCUGACCUCCACUCUCCAACACUGUGCACUAUUUUGGCUUGAAUUUUUUUUCGAAGGCGCGCAAGCGUUGAAUAGAAUUUUGAGCGGCUUCAUUUUAAACUCCCAAGUUAAAGAAUGUAACAAAAAAGAAAAAAGAAAAAAGAAAAAAAAACUUUCAACAACGGAUCUCUUGGCUCUCGCAUCGAUG